CCUACGGGUGGCUGCAGUAGGGAAUAUUGGACAAUGGGCGAAAGCCUGAUCCAGCCAUGCCGCGUGAUAGAUGAAGGCCCUCUGGGUUGUAAAUAUCUUUUAUCUGGGAAGAAACAAUCUUAUUCUUAAGAUCUUGACGGUACCAGAGGAAUAAGCACCGGCUAACUCCGUGCCAGCAGCCGCGGUAAUACGGAGGGUGCAAGCGUUAUCCGGAUUCACUGGGUUUAAAGGGUGCGUAGGCGGGCUGAUAAGUCAGUGGUGAAAGCUCCGAGCUU
This 275-nucleotide ribosomal RNA is filed under the name uncultured bacterium. Its description in RNAcentral is "partial 16S ribosomal RNA". It matches the Rfam family "Bacterial small subunit ribosomal RNA", at positions 338 to 610 of the family's 1533-position model. The record is from RNAcentral.